Non-coding RNA from Acanthosepion pharaonis, 99 nucleotides. The record is from the annotation of a GenBank genome assembly. NCBI's taxonomy places the organism in Eukaryota, Metazoa, Mollusca, Cephalopoda, Sepiida, Sepiidae.
GUUGAAACACCUGUUCCCGUACGAUCACCGAACUUAAACAACGUCGAGUCUAGUCAGUAUCUAUAUGGAUGACCGUAUGGGAGUAGCAUGUGUUGUAAG